This 378-nucleotide ribosomal RNA is filed under the name uncultured bacterium. Its description in RNAcentral is "bacterial SSU rRNA". It matches the Rfam family "Bacterial small subunit ribosomal RNA", at positions 28 to 400 of the family's 1533-position model. The record is from RNAcentral.
GAUGAACGCUAGCGGCAGGCUUAACACAUGCAAGUCGAGGGGCAGCAUGAGGGUUAGCAAUAACUCUUGAUGGCGACCGGCGCAAGGGUGCGUAACGCGUGAGCAACUUGCCCGUUUCUGGGGAAUAACCGGUGGAAACGCCGACUAAUACCCCAUAGCAUUGAUUUCAGGCAUCUGUUAUCAAUUAAAGGAAUUUCGGAAACGGAUAGGCUCGCGUGACAUUAGCUAGAUGNGGGGUAACGGCCACCAUGGCUACGAUGUCUAGGGGUUCUGAGAGGAAGGUCCCCCACACUGGAACUGAGACACGGUCCAGACUCCUACGGGAGGCAGCAGUGAGGAUAUUGGUCAAUGGUCUGACGACUGAACCAGCCAUGCCGC